UCUCAGGAUUUGUAACACGGGAAUCCAUUCUCAAUAUACAGGAUUCUGAAGACUAUCCAUCUUCAAGAUCACCGUCAUUUUCUAUCGUUUCAGAGUUACCUACCAAUGAUAGUGUUUCAGUCACAUCCUGUAUAUCACAUAGCCUCAGUAUAUCACUUGUAGCACAAAAAAAAAAAAAAAAAAACACACCACACUCCAUCAUCCAGAAACAACCACAGAUAAGUUUGUCAUAAGAACCAGCAUAUUACAAAAAGGAGUAAUUGAUUAAAAAAUUGCCCGCUUUGUUUAUGCAACAAACUCUCCUUUCCAUAUGAUUGAGAGCCUACACUUCAUUAACAUCGUUCAGUCAUUACGACCAGGAUACAGUCCACUCAACAGAGCAGAUGUCGCAGGCAAAUUGCUGGAUAAAGUGUAUG
Chelonoidis abingdonii (Abingdon island giant tortoise) is the source of this 416-nucleotide non-coding RNA. NCBI's taxonomy places the organism in Eukaryota, Metazoa, Chordata, Testudines, Testudinidae. The record is from RefSeq and is a predicted model, not a curated record.